RNAcentral lists this long non-coding RNA (475 nucleotides) under Marmota monax (woodchuck). Lineage: Eukaryota; Metazoa; Chordata; Mammalia; Rodentia; Sciuridae. The record is from RNAcentral.
GUUCACCCCUCUCUCUCAAUAGGCUUGGGCUUAUUUUUUAGUGUCAUUUGUGUUUCUCAGCCUCCUUAAUCUUAGGAGUAUCACUUAAUUUCAUGGGUCCCAAUUUCCUCUGUGAUAGUGAAGAUCAGAGAAACAGUUCAAGGCGGUUAGGAAUAUGAAAGGAGGGUGGACAUAUUCAUCAUGUAAACAAACAGCAGAAAUGAUGGAAUGAUGCACCAUGUAUACAUCUUGAAUGUUAGAACCAUUUGUGACUCAUAUAUAACCUGAUGAUCUGUACACAUUCAGUUCACAAGAAAUGACAUGAAUUGCCUGAGCGCACAGCACCCAGCUUGUAGCCUCAACAUCUGCAUCAUACAGACAGAGAAAAUACAAGUGCUAAUGUGACAUUUGUCCCUAAACAUGUCUACUAUUGGACUCCACUUUAUCCCAUGCUUCACUCAAACACAUUUCAGGAAAAGAUUUGGGAGACUUGAAC